UGAAGUGUGUUGUAAGUGGUUUUGUCCCACAUCGGUGGAUUAGUGGAAAAAUCUGUAGUAUAUAUUAAGAUAUGUUUUAUACAUGUUCAAAACAUGUGAGAGAGAAAAGAAUAAGCCCCACGCGCGCGCCGCCGCCGCCGCCAAGCCAAGCCGGGCCGGGCCGGGCACGGGCGUGUUGGUCGAAUGGGCCUUCGGGCCUAAGGCGAGUAUUCUU
This 214-nucleotide long non-coding RNA is filed under the name Eutrema salsugineum. RNAcentral describes it as "long non-coding RNA (ESAL_LNC001463)". Lineage: Eukaryota; Viridiplantae; Streptophyta; Magnoliopsida; Brassicales; Brassicaceae. The record is from RNAcentral.